UCUGCUGUCCUCUGGGGAGAAUGCAUUUGAACUCAUCUCAAAAAGCUGGUUUUCUACCCUGGAGGUCUCCGAUGGCUACUGCGAGAAGAAAGCCAUGUCCCGAAAGCAGUGAUACAGAUUGGCAGCCACUGCAGAGAUGCAGAAUGUCGAAGAGUGUGUGUGUUGGAAUUCCUGGACAGACACUGCUCUGAAAGAAAAACCCUCUGGUUUUGGAAGUCUGGCUGGGCAAGGCAGGCGGAGGUCAUGGAGGGGCCGGCGUGAUGGAAUCCUCGGUGCAGCUGACUGCGCAGCCCGACACUGGCGUGGACACUGGGACGCGUCAUGCAACAUCCAACCAGAGCACACUCACGAGGACAAACAUGGGCCCACCUAUUUACCAUCAGAAAAACAAAAUCAUGCUCUUUCACUUUGAAAGAAGGGGGAAACUGGAAAGUUAUUAUUUGAAAUAAAAUGGAAUUUUAG
This is a long non-coding RNA of Homo sapiens (human), 462 nucleotides long. The record is from Ensembl. Lineage: Eukaryota; Metazoa; Chordata; Mammalia; Primates; Hominidae.